RNAcentral lists this long non-coding RNA (3403 nucleotides) under Anolis carolinensis (green anole). RNAcentral's name for it is "lncRNA (ENSACAG00000044146.1)". The record is from RNAcentral. Lineage: Eukaryota; Metazoa; Chordata; Lepidosauria; Squamata; Anolidae.
AUAUUGUAUAUGCCCUAUUAUUGCCCUGCUUCCAGCUCUGAACACGCCCAUUGCACUCAGCUAUAAGUUAUUGGUUGUUGUUGAGUUACGUUUUUAUGUGUUAAUUCAUGGUAAUUGCAAUGUAUUUUGUGUUGAUAUUUUUUUUUGCUAUUUUUCUGGGCUUUGUCCCCAUGUAAGCCGCCCCGAGUCCCCUCGGGGAGGUGGGCCGAGACAUAAUAGAGACAUUCUAUCUGUCCAUUCCAUAAUAGUCCCAUUGUUGUUGUCUUGUCAUUUUAUACCGCACUUUACUGUCCAUUCAACUGUGAAAUUUCCUUUCCCCAUUUCGUAACACUCUGCACUUUGCCUGGGAUCUACGACUUAGUCUCCUUUUUUUAAUACUGUAUCCUGCUUGUUGAUUUUAAUGAUUGUUUUUAUUGAUGUUGAUGUUUUUUACUGGGAUAAUUGUUUUAUUGCUUUGUUACUGUUAUUUGUUUGUUUUAUUGGGCCAGGCCCCAUGUAAGCCGCCCCGAGUCCCUUCGGGGAGAUGGGGCGGGGUUUAAAAAUAAAGUUGUUAUUAUUAUUAUUGUUGUUGUUAUUAUUAUUAUUAUUAUUAUUAUUAUUAUUAUUUAUUAUAAAGUUAUUAUUUAUAUUUCAAAAUGUCUUGAGACCAGAGCAUUAAAAGUUGCUUUAUUCAGUGCGAUUCUGGAAGCUGUUUUCUACAAACAUGACAUUUUCAGCUACAGACUGAGAUACAUCAAAUAUGGUUAUGAUUAGGAGAGGGAAGAAAGCAAAACUAACAUGUUGAUCACUUCCCCUUCCAUCCAAUAGGACUAUACCUGACUUAACUUUGUUAAGUGAAGUUCUCAGGUUAUCCAAGAACGUUUUACUGCAAGACCCAUGUCAGAUGGCAUCUCAGUUGAUAGGUCGUCUUCAUCAGAUUGCGGCAGCAGAUAAGCCAGUGGCUCCAGGGGAUCCCAAAAAAUACCUCUAUCUGCCAGCUCUUUUGUCCCAGUGUGAGAAAUCUUCCAUUCCUGUUCUUGUUCCUUCAACAACUUGCCUUAUAGCUCCUGGUGGACUACCAUGUGACUUUCUGAAAGGUCAUUUGGACAGAAUUACAGCCAUUGGACAGACCCAGGAGGAACACAUUGUUGCAACAGUUUCCAAUGAUGGCACUUUGAAACUGUGGGACCUGAGAGUUGGUAAAGCCAUCUUCACUCUGCAUGCAAUUGGGAAGAAUAUCAGCGCUAUUGCUGUAUGUUUGGAGAACAGGUUGGUGGCUGUGUCUGACAAGACCAGCCUAAAAAUCUGGGACCUUUCCUUGGAAAAAGUGAUAUAUGCGGCUGGAGAGUUUUUGGAUACUCCUAUACUAACUUCUGCAAUGAACGGACAACUCUUGCUGGUUUUUUUUAAUGGCAACCACAUGGUUCAGGUUUUUGAUCUCGCUCGCUCGUGCCAAUUGCUCCAUGAAGCAACCCUUUCUACUGAAGAAGUGCCCAUCCACAAGGACCGUUCUAUACUUGUAUCAAAGAAUUCAGUGAAAGAUUAUGUUUUGUGUGUCUAUAGAAGUGGAAGUGAAGCAAUGGUCUUUAGUGGCAAGGCAGGAAAAGUAGUUGCGAAACUGAAAAGCCAAGAACCAAUAGCAGCUGCUGAGGAUGUGGCUGUAACCAAGGAAUAUUUUCUGGUGAUUUUCAGAUGUCCCUUCAUGAGACAACGUGAGAUUGUGCAUAUCGAACUCUACCAUGUCCACAACUUUUCCUAUGCUCACAGUCUGAAAGGAUGCUGCCAUGAUUAUAUUCAUACUUUUGCUGUAAACCAUUUGGGGUCUCACCUGGUGGCAUUCAGUCCCAUACCAAACACUAAUUCCACUGAGAUAGUGUCAUGGAAUCUAGAGUCUGAAGAUCACAAACAUUUGGCUAAAUUUCCUUCAGUCCCAAUUGAUGGUGUAUGCACUGAUCUUCGAUACUGCUUAGCAUUCUGUGAUGGAGAUAACUACCUUCGAUCCUGGAACUUGGCUUCCAAGAUCAAUGACCAGUCUUUGACUGUCACUGCAAGCAAAGCAAAGCAAACAAAUGGUAUUCAGAAUAUUGUGACAUCAGAGAACUAUCCCAGAUAUGCUGUCUGUCGAAAUACAAGGAGCCCAGGAGUCAUAACAGUUUGGAACAUUGUGAAAUCAAAGUGUAAACACAAUGCUGUGAGAGUGGAACGAGGACUGGUCGAAAACACGGAUGUAGUGCUGGUUAAAGACAUGAAACUAUAUGUUCUGACAGACAAAGGAAUUGCUCCCUUUGGGGAUCCUCCCAGGCCCAUUUUCCAGACCCUUUUAAUUUAUGAUCUUCUGAAAAAGAAGUACCUAAAGAAACAGACUGGUCUUUACAUAAUUCCCUGUCCAUAUAAUGAGUACAGGAUUCUUGAAGGAGGCCUUCUACUUGGUCUCUCAGAGAACAGAGACCAUUUUAUCACAUGGAAUUUGGAAACAGGAUUGAUUACGAAUCGGAUAAGGCCUCAAUACCAAAACAACUUUGCCUUGCAAGCUCCUCAUCCCAACCAUUCCUUGCCCAGGGAAAAUGCAAAACCAAACAAAGGAGGAUUGUGUAAAGAAAUAACAGCAUUAUGGCAUCCUUGGGAAAGGCGAAAUGAAACAAGGACUGCACAGAAAAGGAGGAGGGAGAAGGCAGGAAAACUGGAGGUGGAAAUGUUACAACAACUAGCCAAGGAGAAGAGUAAUGCUAUUGAUCAGUACCUCCUGAGUGGAGAUGAAAAGGUAGCAGUGUGCUCCUAUUAUGCACAUCACCUGUCUGUGUUCAGCCUGGAAACGAUGUGCCAUGUCCGCACUCUUGAGAGCAGAGAAUCUAUGCUGUUCUUACACAAUGCAGCCUUGACCUUUGACGGCCAUUACCUAGUGCUCUCUAAUUAUAGCGAGGAGGAGAAAAUCAGCUAUGUAACCCUAUGGAAUUUAGCCACAGGAAAGGUCAGGAAAAGAUUAAAAAAUGAGCCAAAUGUUUGCUGUACAGCCAUAACUGAUGAUGGUAGCAGAAUAAUUUUUGGUGUGAUGUUGGAAAACAAGAUAAAGCUUUGGGAUCCAUUUAAACACAGACACAAGUUAUUUCAAGGUUAUGAAGGCCUUCAUCUGAAUGUGAACAGCAAAUUACAGAUAUUAGAUAACGCAAAAGCUGUCCUCCUUGCAGGUGAGGUCAGUCUAUGGGACUUGGAGCGUGGCACAGUUAUAUCCAUCUUCACACCAGAUAGCAACAUCUCUUGUCUGACUCUUGCCUUGGAUAGAAAAGCAAUUCUUUUAGGCUUGACUGAUAGCACUACUCUUAUCACCUUGAAAAUGCUGAGCCUCAACACUGCUGCAAGUUUGACAGGAACAGAUUUGUUUGGAGAAGAAUCGUCAAGCAGUGAAGAGGAGUCUGAAGUCAUGUAA